RNAcentral lists this long non-coding RNA (199 nucleotides) under Elaeis guineensis (African oil palm). RNAcentral describes it as "long non-coding RNA (EGUI_LNC048310)". Lineage: Eukaryota; Viridiplantae; Streptophyta; Magnoliopsida; Arecales; Arecaceae. The record is from RNAcentral.
UGGCCACAGUAGUAUGAUUGAUGGAAAAGUAUUUUCAUAGAAGUCACAAUUAGAUUUGAGCUAAUUGAAUCUAUCAUAUGACUGAUGUUGAAGUUUGAUGAUUUAUCCAUGACUUACCAUCUAGUCGGGACUCAUGAUAGAGGGAUUGAAUCACAUGUUAACUAUACCUAGAAGCUCAUUUCAGUUCUACUAGAUUGCC